GCCCUAGUAGCUCAGUAAUUUAGAGCACUAGCCUUGUAAGCUAGAGGUCGGAGGCUAAAUUCCUCCCUAGUGCU
RNAcentral lists this transfer RNA (74 nucleotides) under Antimora microlepis (finescale mora). RNAcentral describes it as "tRNA-Thr". It matches the Rfam family "tRNA". From Rfam's summary of the family: Transfer RNA (tRNA) molecules are approximately 80 nucleotides in length. Their secondary structure includes four short double-helical elements and three loops (D, anti-codon, and T loops). The record is from RNAcentral. Lineage: Eukaryota; Metazoa; Chordata; Actinopteri; Gadiformes; Moridae.